Chelonia mydas (Green sea turtle) is the source of this 2788-nucleotide long non-coding RNA. RefSeq lists it as uncharacterized. The transcript has 4 exons. Lineage: Eukaryota; Metazoa; Chordata; Testudines; Cheloniidae. The record is from RefSeq and is a predicted model, not a curated record.
AGCAGCUGAGAAGAUGUAAGCAGGAAGUGAGAGGCUGAGUUGCUAGAUGGUGGGUAGGUAGGAAUGUUUCUGUGCUCAUUGAAAAUCGUGGCGUAUCUAGUGUGAGGGAAGGAGUCGUCUUUAUUUUGAGAGGGAUUAGAAGUGAGGAAAGAGGCAAGUAAUUUGCACAGCAAAAGCUCAUUCUUGCUGCCACGUAGUAGGAAAUCUCUUAGUGUAAUGACUUUCACAGUAUAGAAAGCCGGUUAGUACUGGGAAGUGGCAUGUAGGGAAGAUAUAUUUUGCAGGAUUAGAGAAGUUAUUAGUGAAAAAGAACCAAAAUCCAUUUUAAAUGGAUGAAAUGUAUAACUUACUCAUGAGAGGUUUCAGAGUAGCAGCCGUGUUAGUCUGUAUCCGCAAAAAGAACAGGAGUACUUGUGGCACCUUAGAGACUAACAAAUUUAUUUGAGCAUAAGCUUUUGUGGACUACAGCCCAUUUAAUCGGAUCUUGACUCCAAACAAAGAGGCCCUGAAACUUAUCCAUAGCUCUUAAAGGAAGACUCAGAGUGGAGAGUACAAAAACCUAACUCUUAAGGUCCUGGUUAAUGAGGAAAUCGGAAGGGGCUUAUGUGCACAAGAAAUAGUUGUAGUCAAUAGUUAUACUGGUAUAACUAUUUCUGACAAGCUGUGAAACAACAGCAGCUUCACAGGAAAAACUCAACAUUUUUUGCUAAUUUCAAAGCAAAUAACACCUAAUUUUUUUUUUUUUUUUAGAAUUUAUUUUUUGUCUGGAGCAUUUCCAGGGGAAUGAAUCACCGACAGGAGUUAAUAGCUCAUGACUUCUCUUUGGGCCAGCAGUUCUGCCAGUUAGUCAUUAAUCUUUUCCAAGUAAAUAGGUGUUCGGUGAGUCUAUAUGUGGAAACUCUUCCGUCUGAGUCCGUAUUGAACCAUGGGCAGUGACAUGGUGCACAUUGUCAGCACUUGCACCAUUAUUUAUAAUUAUUUAUUAAGGGGGGAAUGUGCUGCUGGAAUAGCUGAUAUUUAGCUCAGUAUAUUAAAUUGGGAUUUUGCAUGCUUCUGGUCGCUAAAGAAGGCUGCACAAAUGUAGCAGUGUCAUCAACACCAAUAUCCUGGCCACCUUCCAGGAAGACAAGAGAAACCAGCACCUUGUACUUCUGCGGAAGGUCUUGACUGAUGGAUGUAAGCCAUGGCUGCAAAGAUGAAGGGAUUGGUCUCUGGAGCACAGCUUGAGCAUUUGAGCUUCCAUGGAAGAACACGAUUGGACACCAAGAUCUCAUUUACAAUUGCUUCCACAUUAUGAAGACUGGCAGAUGUCAUGUCCACUUUCAUUUGAAACAUUUAUUACUGAAAAAUAGUGAAAGAGGGUAGCUGGUAUGCCUAUUGAGGUGAAUAAAACAGAAUGAAGAACUGAAGCAGCACAUGAGAAAUCUGAGGAAAAAAGGCCCAGUACUGUUUGCCCACUCAGAAAUGAUAAAGAGGAGCACGGCGAAGUUUGUCAACAGAACAUCAAACAAAGAUUUAAAGACUUGGAGCCAAAUUGUGCUUUCAGUUAAGGUACACAACCAAAGUACAGUAAAAGGGUUGCACCUGUGAGAAUAAUUGGUAAUAAUAAUAAUAAAUAUUGCUGGAAUAAUUUGGCCCAUUGAGUUAAAAAUUCUAGUCUUAAAUCCACACUGUAGUCUUCUCAUCUAGGCCCUAGUCCUGCAAAUAAUUUGGCGCAUCGAGUUAAAAAUUCUAGUUUUAAAUCCACACUGUAGUCUUCCCAUCUAGGUCCUAGUCCUGUAUAGAUUUACUUAUAUAAGCUGUCCUUUUUGCUUGUUUGCUCAAUUGGGGGGCUAGAAGAUUAGUGUUGGGAUUCCUUCUGAGACCUUUUCCACUCGACUUAUCCAGGACACCUUUUCCAGUUCUGGGACAACACUUCAUCCAGUUCUCUGGGAUCCAAAACAUGCAGUUUGACUCUGGAUUUCAUCAUUCAGGUUCCUUUAUUUGGCAUACAGCAAAGCUAAACUGAGUUGAUCCAACUCAAGCAGAGGAGGAGGGUAUAGGGUGUAUCAUAUAUCCAAAGUUACAGAGACAACCUCUUCCUUUAUAUACUUAUACACAUUACAUAGCAUUUGCUAUACAUUAGAUCACGCAUUUUUGGAUUGGUUUGGUUUCUUUGUAGCUGCCAGUCCCUGUACAGCGUGCUCUGUCCAUGUGCCGUUCAUAUGGAACCUGAUCUUUACCUUCCAGGUUUGUCUUGUCCAUAGUCCUUAACAUCAGGGUGUUGCUGCUUAUUUUAGUUAGCACAGAUAUCCUGACUCCAGCAUACUGUUUUUCAUGGCCCUAUUUACAAUUUAAACUUCCAUUCGCCUUCCCAAUUAUACCCACUAAGAAAUGAGGCAAGUUACUUAUGUCAAGCCAGGCCUACAGUUCGUUAUAUUGUAAUGAAAGCAUUUGGUGUGUGCAGUUGGUGUAAAUGGGCAUAGCUGCAUUGAAAUCAAUCAAUCAAGUUAUGCUGAUUCACACCAGCUGAGUGUCUGACAAUCUAUAUUUAAUAAAAAUGAGAGAAUUUUUCAGUUACUUUAGUGUCUGUGAAUUAAAUGGAGAGGAUAUUACAUGCGGGAAUUACCUUCACAUUUAUGCUUUUGACCCAAAUAGAAUAUGCCAAAGUAUUGAAUAAUACUGAAGCAUUUUAGGUCAGUUUGUGAUUUAAAAAAUAGUUAUAAAGAUGUAUAUACUAGACAGUUAAAUGUCACUAAAAUGCACAAUACUGUUGUUAAUUAUUGAAAUCAUGGAGAAAAUUUUUCAU